UGGGGAAUAUUGGACAAUGGGCGAAAGCCUGAUCCAGCCAUGCCGCGUGUGUGAAGAAGGCCUUUUGGUUGUAGAGCACUUUAAGCGAGGAGGAGGCUACUUAGAUUAAUACUCUAGGAUAGUGGACGUUACUCGCAGAAUAAGCACCGGCUAACUCUGUGCCAGCAGCCGCGGUAAUACAGAGGGUGCGAGCGUUAAUCGGAUUUACUGGGCGUAAAGCGUGCGUAGGCGGCUUUUUAAGUCGGAUGUGAAAUCCAUGAGCUUAACUUAGGAAUUGCAUUCGAUACUGGGAAGCUAGAGUAUGGGGGAGGAUGGUAGAAUUCCAGGUGUAGCGUUGAAAUGCGUAGAGAUCUGGAGGAAUACCGAUGGCGAAGGCAGCCAUCUGGCCUAAUACUGACGCUGAGGUACGAAAGCAUGGGGAGCAAACAGG
RNAcentral lists this ribosomal RNA (430 nucleotides) under bacterium. RNAcentral's name for it is "partial 16S ribosomal RNA". It matches the Rfam family "Bacterial small subunit ribosomal RNA", at positions 355 to 776 of the family's 1533-position model. The record is from RNAcentral.